CCUACGGGGGGCAGCAGUGAGGAAUAUUGGUCAAUGGACGCAAGUCUGAACCAGCCAAGCCGCGUGAAGGAAGACGGCCCUAUGAGUUGUAAACUGCUUUUGUACGAGGAUAAACGCAGAUACGCGUAUCUGUCUGAAAGUAUCGUACGAAUAAGGAUCGGCUAACUCCGUGCCAGCAGCCGCGGUAAUACGGAGGAUUCAAGCGUUAUCCGGAUUUAUUGGGUUUAAAGGGUGCGUAGGCGGUCGGAUAAGUUAGAGGUGAAAUCCCGAGGCUCAACUUCGGAAUUGCCUCUGAUACUGGUAGGCUAGAGAGUAGUUGCGGUAGGCGGAAUGUGUGGUGUAGCGGUGAAAUGCUUAGAGAUCAUGCAGAACUCCGAUUGCGAAGGCAGCUUACCAAGCUACUUCUGACGUUGAGGCACGAAAGCGUGGGUAGCAAACAGGAUUAGAUACCCUUGUAGUC
RNAcentral lists this ribosomal RNA (460 nucleotides) under uncultured bacterium. RNAcentral describes it as "partial 16S ribosomal RNA". It matches the Rfam family "Bacterial small subunit ribosomal RNA", at positions 338 to 795 of the family's 1533-position model. The record is from RNAcentral.